Molecule: ribosomal RNA, 494 nt
Filed under: uncultured bacterium
Lineage: Bacteria
Description: SSU rRNA
Rfam family: Bacterial small subunit ribosomal RNA
Source: RNAcentral
AGAAUAAACGCUGGCGGCGUGCCUAACACAUGCAAGUCGAGCGAGAAAGCUCCUUCGGGAGUAAGUACAGCGGCGAACGGGUGAGUAACACGUGAGAAUUUACCCUUUAGUGAAGAAUACCCUCGAGAAAUCGGGGUUAAUACUGCAUAAGUCCCUACGGGGAGAAAGGUGGCCUCUUUGCUACCGCUAAAGGAUAAGCUUGCGUACUAUUAGCUAGUUGGUGAGGUCAUGGCUCACCAAGGCGAUGAUGGUUAACCGGCCUGAGAGGGUGUACGGUCACACUGGAACUUAGACACGGUCCAGACUCCUACGGGAGGCAGCAGUGAGGAAUCUUGCGCAAUGGGCGAAAGCCUGACGCAGCGACGCCGCGUGGAGGAUGAAGGUCUUCGGAUUGUAAACUUCUGUUAAGCGGGACGAAAUACCUAUCCCUAAUAAAGAUAGGGGAUGACGGUACCGCUAAAGAAAGCACCGGCUAAACUCGUGCCAGCAGCCGC